GAUGAACGCUGGCGGCGUGCCUAAUACAUGCAAGUCGAGCGAACAGACGAGGAGCUUGCUCCUCUGACGUUAGCGGCGGACGGGUGAGUAACACGUGGAUAACCUACCUAUAAGACUGGGAUAACUUCGGGAAACCGGAGCUAAUACCGGAUAAUAUAUUGAACCGCAUGGUUCAAUAGUGAAAGACGGUUUUGCUGUCACUUAUAGAUGGAUCCGCGCCGCAUUAGCUAGUUGGUAAGGUAACGGCUUACCAAGGCGACGAUGCGUAGCCGACCUGAGAGGGUGAUCGGCCACACUGGAACUGAGACACGGUUCAGACUCCUACGGGAGGCAGCAGUAGGGAAUCUUCCGCAAUGGGCGAAAGCUUGACGGAGCAACGCCGAGUGAGUGAUGAAGGUCUUCGGAUCGUAAAACUCUGUUAUUAGGGAAGAACAAAUGUGUAAGUAACUAUGCACGUCUUGACGGUACCUAAUCAGAAAGCCACGGCUAACUACGUG
Molecule: ribosomal RNA, 497 nt
Filed under: uncultured bacterium
Lineage: Bacteria
Description: partial 16S ribosomal RNA
Rfam family: Bacterial small subunit ribosomal RNA
Source: RNAcentral